GCCUCCAGGGUGACGUGUCUGCCUAUGGAUAUCAGUUGCCAGAGAAACCUGGCUUUACUAUGGCGGUUGGAGAGACGGCAGUGAUCACACGUCGUCUGUUGGAAAGAACUGGAUCCUCGUUUCAGACUACCAUCAGAAAAACUAAGUUUGCUGUGUAGUGAGGAUCAGCUCUGAUCCUGAUUGCAGAACAUCCCUCAUUACAGAAUCUUGGAAGCAGCGGUUACUACUAGAACUGAAUUCUGAAAUUAUAACUUCUGACUUAUCCUAACACUCUAGAAAGGUUGUGUGUCUCACCUCAUCUCCACGACCAUCCCAGAAGAUCUAUAAGAUUCCAUCUGGGAAAACACUAGGAGUUCUUGGCAGGGAAAGAAGAGGAUUGCUGGUUGGAAUAAAAACAGGGUUGAAUGAGUUCCAGAAAGCAGGGUUCUCAAACUCGUGGACACCAAUCUGCCGAAGAAGACAAUUUCAAAAAACCAACUAGAAGCAACAUGCAAAGAAGUAAAAUGAGAGGGACAUCUGGAAAGAAGACAGCUGGUCCCCAGCAGAAGAAUCUGGAAGCAGCACUCCCNGGG
Non-coding RNA from Odocoileus virginianus texanus, 572 nucleotides. NCBI's taxonomy places the organism in Eukaryota, Metazoa, Chordata, Mammalia, Artiodactyla, Cervidae. The record is from RefSeq and is a predicted model, not a curated record.